Hirundo rustica (Barn swallow) is the source of this 3286-nucleotide long non-coding RNA. RefSeq lists it as uncharacterized. The transcript has 6 exons. The record is from RefSeq and is a predicted model, not a curated record. NCBI's taxonomy places the organism in Eukaryota, Metazoa, Chordata, Aves, Passeriformes, Hirundinidae.
GUCCUGAGAAGAACUGGGGAUAGUGGUGGAUGAGAAGCUGGAUGUGACCCAGCAAUGGACGCUUGGAGCCCAGAAAGCCAAAUGUGACCUGUUCCUGCAUGAAAAGUGACACAAGAAGCAGGUGAGCAUUUAUGCUCAGUGAUUUUUGUUUUCAUGCCACUUUCAGACGAAGAUAGUUGGAAGAGGAGAACUUUGAAAACCCCCCUGAAAGAAUCUUGAGAGCUACUGUGCUAGUAGACUCUGAACUGAAGACCAUUUCCAAGGGACUCUUAUCUGCAAACUUGCAAUAGGUAGGCUUAAGAACCAGCCAGGUGAUUUCCAGGGGAGGAGAAGGAGAAGAUUCUGUAUCUGAGGGUGAUUCCCUGGUGUCACAUAACCCAAGGCACCUGGUGAGGGGAAACAAGAAGGAUCUGCUGAGUCUACAUCACAGAGGUUGAAGGCCAGCAGUUUUUCUCCUGCAGUUCCUUAUCUCUGAACAAAGCCUCUGCUGGAAAAAUGUUUCAGAUGUACCAGUGGACACUCCCUCUAGCCAGCUAGGAGAGGUUAUUCCAGCUCUGUUGGCCCCUUCCCAGAACACAGAUUUUGCAGGAGCUGCCAUCUCUUUGCUCAGUUGUGACAGUCAGCAUUUUAUGCUGAUGACUCGACAAGAGAAUAUCCCCGUGCCUUUCUGGUCAGUGCCCGAAUGAGGAAAUAAAAGCCACUCGCGGGGUUCGCAGUUUAUCUCUUCACAGGCCGCGGGAGGAAAUGAUGAGGAGAGCGAGCAAAUCUGUUGACAGGAAAGAUUUGUUCUACAAAUGAAGGAAUACUCUCAGGAACAGAAUACUCUCAGGAAUGCAUAAACUCUCAGUUUAUGGGAAGAGACUGUUUUCCAAUGGUCUUCAUCGGAUGUUUCGAGAGAGCAGGGUGCCUCUUGCAGAGACAUCCAGUAACGCUCAGGACUGCCUUCUGUUAAAGACCCAAGAAAUUCUGGAGGCUCCUGCACUUGGUUUCUUACUGCUGACAGUGUACAAAGCUGUGGGGUGUUUUGAGGAAGAAAGGAUCACAUGAUAGAGGAGAAUAGAUGAGAGGACUAAAAUGAACAUGCAAGCUAGUUUGUGUACUCUUUGAUCAGCUGAUUUAAUGAGGGGGAAAACCCCCCAAGCUUAAAAUCAUGCAGGAAACUGCCGCCUUUCAGACCCAAGCCUUGUUUUCAGACACGUUAUCCAUCUGCAAUAAAAGAAGCGCACGUGUCAGCCACAAACAUCGUUGGGAUAAUCAUGCAUCUGGCAAAUGAGUGCUCAAACCCCAUCCUGUGUGAUCGGCCUGGGGCUGACUUGAACUUCAGGAGCAGAUUACAUCAAGCUGCAAGCACUUCUUCUGCUUCAGGGGGUAGCUGAGGGGUCUGCUUCAUUUUCAGAAGCUGACAUUCUACAUCUGAUAGUGGCCAUUGGGUGUUGAAAGAAGAAGCCAUCCUUUUAGGUAGCGUUUAUGUAUGAAAACGCUUUUGAAAAGCGUAAGGAAGCUGAUGCCCACGUACUGAGCUGGUGGUAGUUUUAUUAUGGGAUGUUUGCACAUUUCUUCUUCCAGAAUGGGUUAUAAGCAUCCAUUCUGUGUAUCAAAAAACUUUCUUUGCAAAAGCUGAUUGGCUAAAGUGAUGCCAUAAAAAAGCCAGGAGUCACUGCUUUCCUCUUGUGACUGAAGGCAAAGUGCCAUUUUUACGUGUUUAAAGUAGCAUAUGCUCGUGCACAGAUGGACAAUGGUGCUGACAGAUAAUUAUCUGCACCCAUCUGCAUAAAUCAAGGAGAAGCUAAGACACGCUACAUCUUUCUCUUAGCCCUGCAACGGAGAUUUUGAAAUGCAUCAGUGCACUGAGCAAUGAUUGUAGGCCGAUGGCUAAAACAUUCUGAGAAACUAAUUGGGUUUGUAAGGAAAUCUCACGGUAUCGUGGCAACCUGGGCCCAGAAGUUAACACAUCCAGUCAUUUGGAAAGCAUUGGCAGGUUGGUACAAUAAAUCCUUUGCAAGACUCUCUGGCCCUUUGGUUGCUCCAUGAGUUUGAAGCUGCUCUUAGAUUAGAGUAUCUUCCUAGGAAAUUGAUGGUGUUGUGAGAGUUAGUUUAUCUGCAAGAAGGCACCAGAUGGCAGCAUUUUUCCCUCACUGAGUGUGAUCUCAUCCUCUCGGAUUCACUCCUGGGAUCAUCAGGCUUUGAGGCUGCAUAAGCCACAAUGACCUCAGCUGAACUGCACCUUCUCUGUUGCCACCUGCUCCUUUUUCCUACUUUUAUUGGACGUGCAGAGUCACAUUCAGGUGGCCUGAACACAAUCCAAGCCCUUGAAGUUGUGGUUGCCUUUUGCCUGUGCAGGUCAGAGAGUCUAAAAAGAAACAUUAGCAUACAGGUACACAAAAAUUUAGACUCAGAGAAUACAGCUCUGACCUCUAAAUUUCCCAUAACCUCUAAAUAUUAAGUAUCAUGAAGUUUAUUUGAUAUUCUUGUUAGCUACAUGCUCUUUCCCAUGCACACACACGCACAAUGUAAUACUUGUUUACAAGCAAGUUUGACGUGUGUCCUUUUCUAUCAAUGCUUUAUUCCUUGAAUAAUACUUCACUGUACACAAAUUAUGUAUGACAAGUUAUGUGCUGCUGGACUUGUAACCUCCAUAACCAGAAUUCUGUUCUGGACAAAAAAUCUGAAGCAGGGCAGGGAUUUUGGGAAGUAAAUUGCAAGCUCUAGGUUUUGUUUUUUUUUUUUUUUUUUUUUUACACUUACAGAUGUGGCCUAAAGAUUUAUGGGCUAGGAUUUCUGUUAUCAUUCUAUCCUCUACUCCUCUUCUUCCCUUCAUCCUCAUGUUCUUGCUUUCAAUGCUGCUUUGUUAAGUGUUUUGUCUUAGAAGAAAAAAACCCACACAUUAUGUCCGGCCGUAACAAAUUAUUCUUAAAUCAUCCACCUUUAAAUUUGGAUUCUGCAGCACUGGACUACAAAUAUUUGUUUAUUUGAACUAUGUGACUGACAUUGACAGCAGAAGAAAGGCUCUUUAUCCAAAGUGGGGUUGGAUAGCUGGCCCCCAGAGGGUGAAGGAGUAGCAGCCCUACUGGCUGCUGUUUUCUUUGACUGUUACUGCAUCAGGUUGCUGGUGUUUCUGCUGUGGUGACUGGGUUAAUGCUUUACAAAUGCUAUGAGCUCAGCAGCAGACUAUUUGGGGAUUGGAUAAUUUAUUAACUUCUGACAAGCAGGCCAUUAUUUUUCUGAAGAACAUGUCUGACAAGGGAAUUUACUUUCCUUUUUUUUUUUUUUUUUUUUUUUUCCCAAA